CCUUUGUACACACCGCCCGUCGCUACUACCGAUUGAAUGGCUCAGUGAGACCUUCGGACUGGCUCGGGGAGGUUGGCAACGACCACCCCGAGCCGGAAAGUUGAUCAAACUCGGUCAUUUAGAGG
Molecule: ribosomal RNA, 125 nt
Filed under: Pleosporales sp.
Lineage: Eukaryota; Fungi; Ascomycota; Dothideomycetes; Pleosporales
Description: partial small subunit ribosomal RNA
Rfam family: Eukaryotic small subunit ribosomal RNA
Source: RNAcentral